Molecule: long non-coding RNA, 4648 nt
Organism: Coregonus clupeaformis (lake whitefish)
Lineage: Eukaryota; Metazoa; Chordata; Actinopteri; Salmoniformes; Salmonidae
Exons: 3
Source: RefSeq, a predicted model, not a curated record
UGGCCAUUUGAUUAAUUGUUCAGCAGUCUUAUGGCUUGGGGGUAGAAGCUGUUAAGGAGCCUUUUGGACCUCACACUGAUUAUUAGGUAUGUUAGAAAAUAUUUUUCAAGAAUAAUAGUGGACAUUCAGCAGUGUGUCUCCCUCAAGUCAGGUAAAGUAUAAAAAAAUAAUAAUAUUGUUUGUGUCCUUAUGUCUGCAGGUGUAGAUUUCAACUCUCGGUUCUCUUUUGUCCUCUUACCUGGCAGCUCGGAAAAGCCCUAGAAUGGUGACAGUUGGGUUAUUACACAUGAAGAUCAAAAGGUUCUGUAACAUCUACUGCAUUAAUUAACUGACUUUGUCUGUUAUCUGACCAGAACAUUUAAUCAGGUUCACAUUUAAUUUAAUAAAGCAAUUGCCCUUACUGGUGCUUCUGUCUCGCUCUUUCUCUCUGUGCAUCUUGCUGACUGUGCUCUGUGUCUUCAGACACAUAAUGAAAGAGCUUAUUGAGACAGAGAUGAUAUAUGUAGAGGAGCUGCUCUGUCUUGCUGGUAAGGUGUUUCAUUUGAAAGUUGCACAGACACACAAACCACCCCAACGGGUACAGCAUAAAAACCAAGUCUUCCCUAGGGUUAUAGAGCAGAGAUGGAUAACCCUGUCCUCUCUAACCUUCUGUCCUGCGCAGCAAGAAGGAGGUCCUCUUUGGAAAUAUGCCAGAGAUCUACAAAUUCCACAGCAGGCAAGGAUGUACACACAUACAUUCUCUCUCACACACACUGAACAACUGAUGAGCAGAAGCUCUGACUCAUUUUUUACAGAGUGAAUAGUGUAUUGAUUGAAGUUAAGCCUGCCAUGUCCGCCCCUCCUCUAUGCAGGACCUUCCUCCAGGACUUGGAGGAGUGCCUGGAAACUCCUGAGAGGGUUGGAGCCUGCUUUUUACAACAGUGGAGCAAGCUUGUGAUCACCCCUUUCUGACCCAGUGUCAGCAUGUGUUAUGUGGUCAUCAGUCAGAGACACCUGUAACCAUGCUUUUGAGAUUUCUGUCAUUUCAGAAAGAGAAGUUUCAGAUGUAUGAGCACUACUGUCAGAACAAGCCACACUGAGUUGCUAUGGAGACAGUGCUCUGCUUGGCCAUUCUUCCAGGUACUAUGGCUAAGUGCACUGCCAAGCUUUAUUGUUGACCUGAGAUGCACUUCUGCUUACCUUCUGCUCCAGUUUGACCAGCCCGCUGAGGUCUUUGUCCACAGCUCUGGGGAGAUCUACAUAGUGGACGGGGACAGAGGGAUGAACAACUGCCUCACCAAACUGUGGUUGAUGCACUCUAUUAUAGGCCGUGUUCCAGACGGACUACAUUGCAGACACAUGCCAGAUCUAAGAACGCCUGGAUUAGUGUUUAACAUAUCAGUUAACCAAAUCAUAUGAUAUAGCAAUCUGAUGCCUGACUGUUCAGUCUGACGUGGGCAUAGAACCAUUGGCUGAUGCAAUGCAAUGUAGUUGGCCAGGAACACGACCAUAAUCAUUCGGUAAGAGGUUAACGUGUAUAUUUAAAUAGAUUCAAAUGAGCCAAGCAAAGCACUUAUUGGACAAAUCAAAGAUGCCAUUUUCUCCCUAUACUGCUCAUUUUAAUAAUUAUUUACCCCAGGCUCACUAAGGCAUAAAGUCCUGUGUAUGUAACAUGCUACACCAAUCAGGAACUCUUAACCAGCUCUGUAUUUACUGUUUAGUUCUUAUGGAGGUCUAGAAAAGUAUUGCAUGUCCAACUAACCAAUCUCACUGGUCAUUUACUUUAGUGGCUUGACGUUAAACCUCAUGAUACUAACUGUAAGUCGCUCUGGAUAAGAGCGUCUGCUAAAUGACAAAUGUAAAAUGUAAAUAUCCUUUAAUCUAUUGAUAAAACGUUUAUUUUAUUUUUGAUUUGAAGUUAUAGUUUUGACGUCUUCUGGGUAGAUUUGAGACAUUUCAAUCUUUCUGUGGCGAUUUUAGCAUGUAAAUCUUGGUGGGGCUGACAAAAAAACAAAAAAGAAUGAAGCAUGCCAGCGAAGACACAACACAAACCAAUACAUUCAUUGCAAUAUAACGGUGACAAACGGUGCCCACAAACUGUCCCAAAAGCAGAGCUUUCUUUUCAGAACCAUGGAGUCCUUACCACUGCUACACCUGGAUCUACUAGCUUCCAUGUUAGGUGUUUGUUCUCUAUUGUGGUGUGAUCUGUCUGUCUGCAUGCUAGUAGUUUGGUUAAACUACCUGUAGUUUUAAAGUCCCUUUUAUCUGCCCUCUGCCCCCCUUUCCCUCUCCCCCUCUCUCUCCGAAGACAUUCCCCCUAUUCAACUCUCGGAGCAGACUCCUUUGUUUCCUCCCUCUACUGACAGAUGAUGCUUUUUGCAUGUCUUCUCAUGUCUCCAUGUUUUACAAUUUGCAUGGUGAACAAAGAGACAUUGUGAUUUCAUGGAAAUGUUAAAAAAUGUAAUCGGUCAUAGCAUGUGGGUUUGUUUGUGGAUUUCCAUCAUAGCUUGGUUUCAACUCAUCUCCAACCUACUGACUGUGAUGUCAGGAUUGUUUCUGUGGUGUGAUCUAGAGCAGGAUUAUUCAACUCUGACCCUACGAGGUCCGCAGCCUGCUGGUUUUCUGUUCUACCUGAUCAUUAAUUGCACCCACCUGGUGUCCCAGGUCUAAAUCAGUCCCUGAUGUGAGGGGAACAAUUAAACAAAGCAGUGGAACUGGCUUGGAGGUCCAGAGUUGAGUUUGAGGGGUCUAGAGGAUAAGGUGCCUAGGGCCAAGCCUGUGACCAUGUGGAUAUUGUGUUUCUACCCCAUUCCUUUGCGAUUUGGGACAGUCUGUCUCGUACGACAGUGUGCAUGCCGUGGAGUCCCUGGCAGAUCGCUGGCUGCUCAGGUUGUUUUGAUGUCCUUCCUCACAGUAAGAUCCCAGACCAGUCCCUCAGCACGGAGGAGGCCGCAUCGUCAGGCCGCACUAGCCCCGUGGUCUUCUCCCCGUAGCCCCAGCACAAUAACCGACGCAGUGAGUCAGCGUGGGAAACGGCUGCAAUUUUGUCACACCAACUCACUUUAGUAGUAGAGCAGACUCCAUGUCUAUUAGAUGGGCCUGUCAGUGAGGUUUUCCCACUGGAAAGUCCAGCAUGUAACAGUGGAAUUUUGUUUGUGUAUUCAGUGGAAAGGUAUUCUACAUGAAGGGUUUUGAAAGUGCCUAACAUAAGUGACAUUUAGGUGUAUAGUAAGUAAUGAGGCCUUUGACUUGAGGGUGGUUGUAUUUGAGAGGUUCUGUCUGUCAAACGUAGGUUGUGCUGGCACCUCCAACUCAGUGGACAUUUUUGAGGGGUCCGGAGGACUGCAGCAUGACUGACCUGUCAGACGCUGACGAGGAUGACCACACUACUCCACUGGUUCCUGGGAGGUACAGGGCCCUGGUGGAAAGUAGUGUGUGUGUAGUACAGAUGACCUCAUCAUUAAGUGUGGUGAUGUCAUCUAGCUGCUGCAUCAGGACACUGUAGGGAGGUGGUAAGGCACAGUAAUAUCACUACCACUCUUGCUGUUGUUACUACUCUAGUACUCCUGGUUCUCUCUCUGUCAGGCUUGUGAGGAAUGUCAGUCGUUGUGAUGAGGGGCGCUCAUGCAGGAUAGGAGGUGAGGGGUUCCCAAUGGACCACUAGUAGAGAUCACUGUUCUUGUCGUUAUAUUAGCAUGGAUGAAUGUCCUCAUACCUGCGCAUUAAUCUUACUACCUAUAUGUUUCGUUUACUCUUCCAGGGAAUGAGAACCAGGAAGCUCAGCUCUCUGAGUGAACCAUGUGCCAUCCAUCCUCAGUCUGGACACAAAGACACAACUCCUGUCAUCACAACUGUCGUCGUGCUGCUAUCAUUCCCAUCCAAGGUCAUGUUGCCUGGAGUCUCUAGAGGCCUUCAACAUGCUGCCGGAGACAGACCAGUUAUCAAUCAAACCACAGGAUCUGAAGGAGGGUGCAAGUGUUGCCCUGCAAUGUUAGGGUAAAAUCCCUACCCACAUCAAGCAAACAGACAACCUCAAGCACAAGGUAAUGGACCAAAUCUACCCUUCAACCCCAGGCGACAUCCCACAAAGAACUGCUGUUCAAACCCAGGCAGCAUCACAACAUCACCUCAAAUAACUGCUCUUCAACCCCAGGCAGCAUCACAGCAAAGAACUGCUCUUCAACCCCAGGCAGCAUCACCUCAAAGAACUGCUCUUCAACCCCAGGCAGCAUCACCUCAAAGAACUGCUCUUCAACCCCAGGCAGCAUCACAGCAUCACCUCAAAGAACUGCAAAUCAUCAUAGCCAUAGGAUCUCCAUGUGGAUGAGAUGCAUGAACUGUUUCAGAUCCACUAUGAAUAUUUACUAAGGAAGGGACUGUUUUACUUCUGUUACAGUACAAGUCAAUCAAUCUCAAUUUUUUAAACUUUUGUGUAUAGCCAUCAUGGUUUGAGAGAGAGGCCAUAUCAGAUUUCAACAUACUGUAUCAUCAGUACCAGGUUAUGUGCCAAAACAUGCUACUGUCCAUUUUCCCUGUGCGCUUUAUUUGUUACAACCUCAUUUUGUACAACUCCCAUUAUCCACAAUUACUAUGGUAAAUUGGCUGGCUUCCAGUUGAAGCUCGCAUCUGCUACAAGACCAUGGUGCUUGCCUACGGAGCUGUGAGGGGA